AAAUUUUUGAAAAAGUUUUUAAUUUUUCCCAAUAUAUGCUGGGAGACAGGUAUUUUUAUAUUCAUAUGAUUACAAAUUUAAUUGUAAAUAGAUUUCUCAAAAAUAUUUAAAAGUCUCAUGUUCUCUCUUUUUCUUAGUAGCUUUAGCUUCAAAUCAUUAUAGUGAAUGGUCUAUGCAAUAUAGUCAUGCAGUCAGGAGAGUCUCUGAAUGCUGGUUGCUGAAUGUUUCUUUCCUCUGUAUGUUUUAGGAUAGCAAAUGGUCUCAGACUUCCUGGCUUACUGAAUUCAUACAUGCCUUUAUAUUUUACUCUCCCAGUUAACAAUUGCAUCAUUUUCAUAAAAGCCAAGACCAUGCUAAGAUCUUCAUUCACUAUAGAUUUACAAUGUUCCAUCAGCCUAUCAAGAAGAUUUUUUUUGUCACCCCAGUGCAUUUCUGUUCUUUGGAAAUUCCUGUUAUAAAGAGAAAUGGAAUAGACAUUCGUCUGAUGUGCACAAUCAUAAUUUUCCUUAUCAUUGCACAGGAGGCCAAAGAUUAAUAGGUUCCACUUUAUAGCCUGCUUUAAAUGUGAGCCCUUAAUAAUCUUAAUUCUUUUAUUAUCUAAAGAGAUGAUACUAUCAUAAAUGCUAUGCUUUCAAGGCAAUCUUUUCACUGUUUCUAUAUAUCAUGAUUCUGCCUUCUAUCAAACUUUACUUAAGUUCUUUUUAUAUAUUGCAAGGACAAGG
Molecule: long non-coding RNA, 722 nt
Filed under: Androctonus crassicauda
Lineage: Eukaryota; Metazoa; Arthropoda; Arachnida; Scorpiones; Buthidae
Source: RNAcentral